Molecule: ribosomal RNA, 253 nt
Filed under: uncultured bacterium
Lineage: Bacteria
Description: partial 16S ribosomal RNA
Rfam family: Bacterial small subunit ribosomal RNA
Source: RNAcentral
UACAGAGGUCUCGAGCGUUAGGCGGAAUCACUGGGCUUAAAGCGUGUGUAGGCGGAUCGUUAAGUACCUUGUGAAAUCCCACGGCUUAACCGUGGAACUGCUUGGUAUACUGGCGGUCUUGAGCCAGCUAGGGGCUACCGGAACAAAUGGUGGAGCGGUGAAAUGCGUAGAUAUCAUUUGGAACGCCAAAGGUGAAAACAGACAGCUGGGGAUGUGCUGACGCUGAGACACGAAAGCCAGGGGAGCGAACGGG